Molecule: non-coding RNA, 1158 nt
Organism: Kogia breviceps (pygmy sperm whale)
Lineage: Eukaryota; Metazoa; Chordata; Mammalia; Artiodactyla; Physeteridae
Source: RefSeq, a predicted model, not a curated record
CUCACAAGAGAUUUUUUGGCAUCUCAGUGGUUCAGGUCUCAACAGGAGCCUGAGAAUUUCUCCGCAUAGUGAAGAAAUGUUCUGGUUGGAUUUAAGGUUGAUUAUGUGACCGCUCUGGCAAGAGCACUUUGACAACUGUAAGAAGAGAGGGCAUGCGCACACAGGGAACUGUGGGGGCUGAAGUCCUUAGCUAGGUCCGCUGCCCGACUGGAGAAUGUUCCGCUAGGAAAGGAGGAAGCCUCCAAAAUACUGAUUCCACGGGAAAGAGCUGACUCCACAAACUUACUGCAUCUGGCUUCUGCCCCUACAAUCCUUCCAAAAUUGCUCUUGCUACUGAUCUUACUCAAAUCACCAAUGACCAACUGACACCUUUUCAAUUCUUAUUUUAUUUGCCAUUUAUCUUUCAUAAAACACUUGCAUUAGGCAGAAUUCUAAGAUGGCUCCCCAAGAUUCCAAGCUAGAAGGAAAACAGGGACCUUAGUCCUACAAAGGCAAUUCUGCCAACAAUAAGAAUGAACCUGAAAGUGGAUUGGACACCCUAAACAGAGAACCCACAGUCAUGCUGACUACAGAACUGUUGCCCUCAUUAAAUUGGAAUCAACAGGCACCUCUCAAGGAGCUGCCUUAGAAGUAUCACCAGCUUCCACAAUUUCAACUUCCAACCCGAAAGUUUUAGCUACAGCUUUGAGCAUUUUCCUAAGAGCAUUCCAACUGCCUGCUGGACAUUUCCAUAUUCAAGUUUUACCGCGUCACUCAUCGUUCUCUAUGGGACAAGAGCAAACAUUUACCCUACUAUUUAGGGUUCUCUCCUUCUAAUCCCAACCUUUAUUCUCAGAUAGCAUUGACCCCACUUCUCCAGGCAAAUUGGUCUACUUGUGGUCCUGAACCUUGCUAAUGUUACCGCUCCCAUAUGGCAUACCCUCCUCAUCCUCUCUACUUAUCCUAAUCUCACCUUUCUUCAGGGCCUAGUUCAAACACCAGUUCCUAAAAACAGCAUCUAUCUGUACCACACAUUUAUAGCUUUGCAUUUCUAUUUACCUUUUCUGGUAUAAUUAUGUUAAUUCCCCAGCUAGAACUCUAAGCUUCUUGAGGGAAGGCACUGGAACUUAUGCUUUUGUUCUUCCUCAAAGUCAGGUAGUAUCCUGCAGGGAGCCUAGU